GACGAACGCUGGCGGCGUGCCUAACACAUGCAAGUCGAACGCUGAAGCGUGGUGCUUCCUCUUCUUGGAUGAGACGCGAACGGGUGACUAACGCGUAGGUCACCUGCCUUGUAGCGGGGGAUAACUAUUGGAACUGAUAGCUAAUACCGCAUACCAAUGGAUGCCGCAUGUCAUUUAUUUGCAAGGGGCAAUUGCUCCACUUCAAGAUGGACCUGCGUUGUAUUAGCUAGUAUGUGAGGUACGGGCUCACCUAGGCGAACAUACAUAGCCGGCCUGAGAGGGUGGACGGGCACACUGGGACUGGGACACGGGCCAGGCUCCUUCGGGCAGCAGGAGGAGGGAAUCUUUGGCAAUGGGGGCAACGCUGAACGCAGAAAGCCGGGGGAGUGGAGGAGGGUGUCGGAUCGGAAAGCUCAGUUUUUAGUGAAGAACGAGUGUGAGACUAGAAAGGACGCGUUGUGACGGUAGCUUAAGAAAAAGCAACGGCUAACUACGUG
This 497-nucleotide ribosomal RNA is filed under the name uncultured bacterium. RNAcentral describes it as "partial 16S ribosomal RNA". It matches the Rfam family "Bacterial small subunit ribosomal RNA", at positions 28 to 507 of the family's 1533-position model. The record is from RNAcentral.